CCUACGGGAGGCAGCAGUGGGGAAUAUUGCACAAUGGGCGAAAGCCUGAUGCAGCAACGCCGCGUGAGGGACGACGGCCUUCGGGUUGUAAACCUCUUUUAGUAGGGAAGAAGCGAAAGUGACGGUACCUGCAGAAAAAGCACCGGCUAACUACGUGCCAGCAGCCGCGGUAAUACGUAGGGUGCAAGCGUUAUCCGGAAUUAUUGGGCGUAAGGAGCUCGUAGGCGGUUUGUCGCGUCUGCUGUGAAAACUGGGGGCUCAACCCCCAGCCUGCAGUGGGUACGGGCAGACUAGAGUGCGGUAGGGGAGAUUGGAAUUCCUGGUGUAGCGGUGGAAUGCGCAGAUAUCAGGAGGAACACCGAUGGCGAAGGCAGAUCUCUGGGCCGUAACUGACGCUGAGGAGCGAAAGCAUGGGGAGCGAACAGGAUUAGAUACCCUGGUAGUCCAUGCCGUAAACGUUGGGAACUAGAUGUAGGGGCCAUUCCACGGUUUCUGUGUCGCNGCUACGACAUUACGUUACCCGUCCGUCGGGUAGGUACGGCCGCGACGGACGUAAACGUUAAACGGUAAGUUAGACGGCGUGAGACGUGCCGACGACGACGACGAGGGAGUAGG
RNAcentral lists this ribosomal RNA (615 nucleotides) under uncultured bacterium. Its description in RNAcentral is "bacterial SSU rRNA". The stretch from base 1 to 525 matches the Rfam family "Bacterial small subunit ribosomal RNA", at positions 338 to 873 of the family's 1533-position model. The record is from RNAcentral.